RNAcentral lists this ribosomal RNA (309 nucleotides) under uncultured bacterium. RNAcentral's name for it is "partial 16S ribosomal RNA". It matches the Rfam family "Bacterial small subunit ribosomal RNA", at positions 504 to 808 of the family's 1533-position model. The record is from RNAcentral.
AGAGACAGCAGCCGCCACGGUAAUACAGAGGGUGCGAGCGUUAAUCGGAUUUACUGGGCGUAAAGCGUGCGUAGGCGGCUUCUUAAGUCGGAUGUGAAAUCCCUGAGCUUAACUUAGGAAUUGCAUUCGAUACUGGGAAGCUAGAGUAUGGGAGAGGAUGGUAGAAUUCCAGGUGUAGCGGUGAAAUGCGUAGAGAUCUGGAGGAAUACCGAUGGCGAAGGCAGCCAUCUGGCCUAAUACUGACGCUGAGGUACGAAAGCAUGGGGAGCAAACAGGAUUAGAUACCGAGUAGUCCCUGUCUCUUAUACA